RNAcentral lists this ribosomal RNA (229 nucleotides) under uncultured bacterium. RNAcentral describes it as "partial 16S ribosomal RNA". It matches the Rfam family "Bacterial small subunit ribosomal RNA", at positions 91 to 334 of the family's 1533-position model. The record is from RNAcentral.
UACAGCGGCGUACGGGUGAGUAACACGUGGAUGAUCUACCUUCUAGUGGGGGAUAACCCUGGGAAGCCGGGGCUAAUACCGCAUAAGCCUGUGAAGGGAAAGCAGCAAUGCGCUGGAAGAGGAGUCCGCGGCCGAUUAGCUAGUUGGUGAGGUAACGGCCCACCAAGGCGACGAUCGGUAGCCGGCCUGAGAGGGCACACGGCCACACUGGCACUGAAACACGGGCCAG